Molecule: long non-coding RNA, 717 nt
Filed under: Oryctolagus cuniculus (rabbit)
Lineage: Eukaryota; Metazoa; Chordata; Mammalia; Lagomorpha; Leporidae
Description: lncRNA (ENSOCUG00000037226.1)
Source: RNAcentral
AUGAAUAGGAGAAGCUGCACGGAUCUCAGUCACAGAAAGCAAAGUAAGGACCAUCCUUCCAGGGGACUGAUGGAGAGAAAUUUCCAGGGGAGAACUGACAGAACAGAACACAGACUCCAUGGGGCACCGAGGAGAAGAGACAAACAAGUUGCUAUUAGCUGUGUCACCAGCCACGCCUGCAUCUACAUAACUGGGUCCCAGCUGGGAAGUGCCAAGAUAAGUUUGAUAGGUGAUUGGAGCUCAUGGAACAAUGCUUGGAAGUCAGAAAAGCUUCCCUUUUGCUGAGGAGAGAGAUUCUGCAUCCUGCACAGAGGAGUGUGGAUUCAGACUGAUGCUCACUCUUAUGAAGAUAAAGAGGAGGGGAUGAUGGGGCUGUCAGCAUACCAGUGCUCUUCUUCUUCUUCUUUUUUAAAGGUUUAUUUAUUUAUUUGAAAGGAAGAGUUACAGAGAGGCAGAGGCAGAGAGAGGGAGAGAGAGAGAGAGAGAGAGAGAGGUCUUCCAUCCUCUGGUCCACUCCCCAGUUGACCGCAACAGCCAUAGCUGCUCUGAUCCCAAGCCAAGAGCCAGGAAUUUCUUCUGGGUCUCCCACACAGGUGCAGGGGCCGAAGGACUUGGGCCAUCUUCUACUGCUUUCCAGGCCAUAGUAGAGAGCUAGAUGGGAAGUGGAGCAGCCAGGACUUGAACCGGCACCCUUAUGGGAUGUGGGUGCUGCAGGCA